This 340-nucleotide unclassified non-coding RNA is filed under the name soil metagenome. Its description in RNAcentral is "partial contains 5.8S ribosomal RNA, internal transcribed spacer 2, and large subunit ribosomal RNA". The stretch from base 1 to 120 matches the Rfam family "5.8S ribosomal RNA", at positions 35 to 154 of the family's 154-position model. The record is from RNAcentral.
GAUGAAGAACGUAGUGAAAUGCGAUAAGUAGUGUGAAUUGCAGAAUUCAGUGAAUCAUCGAAUCUUUGAACGCACAUUGCGCCCUUUGGUAUUCCAAAGGGCAUGCCUGUUCGAGCGUCAUUUGUACCCUCAAGCUCUGCUUGGUGUUGGGCGUCUUGUCUCCAGUUUCGCUGGAGACUCGCCUUAAAGUCAUUGGCAGCCGGCCUACUGGUUUCGGAGCGCAGCACAAGUCGCGCUCUCGUCCAGCCAAGGUCAGCAAUCCACAAAGCCUUUUUUCAACUUUUGACCUCGGAUCAGGUAGGGAUACCCGCUGAACUUAAGCAUAUCAAUAAGCGGAGGA